Molecule: ribosomal RNA, 253 nt
Filed under: uncultured bacterium
Lineage: Bacteria
Description: partial 16S ribosomal RNA
Rfam family: Bacterial small subunit ribosomal RNA
Source: RNAcentral
UACGUAGGGAGCGAGCGUUGUCCGGAAUUACUGGGCGUAAAGCGCACGUAGGCGGAUUUGUUAGUCAGGGGUGAAAUCCCGGGGCUCAACCUCGGAACUGCCUUUGAUACUGCAAGUCUCGAGUCCGAUAGAGGUGGGUGGAAUUCCUAGUGUAGAGGUGAAAUUCGUAGAUAUUAGGAAGAACACCGGUGGCGAAGGCGGCCCACUGGAUCGGUACUGACGCUGAGGUGCGAAAGCGUGGGGAGCAAACAGG